Dromaius novaehollandiae (emu) is the source of this 1299-nucleotide long non-coding RNA. RefSeq lists it as uncharacterized. NCBI's taxonomy places the organism in Eukaryota, Metazoa, Chordata, Aves, Casuariiformes, Dromaiidae. The transcript is spliced from 4 exons. The record is from RefSeq and is a predicted model, not a curated record.
AGACUCUGCCUACUCUACUCCUCUGUUUAUGUAAUAACGUUAUUUAAAAAAUUAACAUGGACAAAGAGUGUUCCCCAUGCUGCUUCCAGGUCCGAAAAAGCCCUGCUAUCCCCAUAUUUCUAUUACAAUUUAAUAGGCAGAGAGCCCCAGUGUUUUUAGUGUAGCUUCUCUUUUCAAUGGCUCUAGAAGCUGUGAGUUUCAAGUAGCCAUCUAAAGACAUGCUGUUUGCAGGUGAAAGAUAACAAGCUGUGCUGGGACACUGCAGGUAGCAUGUGCCAGCACACUUGUGCUUGUACAGCUCACCCAUCCAGAUAGUCCCUUAAACGUUUUCCUCCUCAUACUCUUCCUUGAUGUUCAGUAGAUUGCUUUGUUUUUCUAGAGUGGGCUUUAAAAGUUUAUCCUGCUUGCUCCAUGUUGUUCCAGAAGCCCUAUGUAUUUCCAUCCGAAGAGGCUUCCUGUUUUUUAUAGUUGUCUUGGUCUGCAAUUAGCCUUUAGUCAGAAGACAGCAACAGCUGUUUGUGAAACAGCCAAAUCAACAACCAUCAAGACAACCUGGAACUUCAAGGAUUUUGACAAACCGUGAAAUAUGAGAUCCUUAAGGACAUAUGUUUCUACUGGAUGGUGUAAGGAUGUUCGUGAGCUUUGGAGGGAAAACCGGAGGUUGAAUCGUAGAUGGAAAAAGGAAGAAGCAAUCAUAUGGUUUUCUUUCUUUGCUGGCUCAUUUUGAUGGGGUAUGCAGCUUAAUAAACUUACACUUGCCCGAGUCCUCCCUGCUAAAAUUUUAGCCAGGCUAAUCUGUGUGUGUGUGUGUGUGUGUGUGUGUGUGCAAUCCAGAGAUCGUAAGUAGGAGCUACUUUUUUCAUUGGUCUCUAAUUAUAUGUAUUGAUGACAGUAGCUGUACUGAAGAGCAUCGGUUCUGAUUGGAAUGUUUUAAUUCUCCCACAGUGAACUGUAAAGAUGUUUGGCAUACUUCUGGGAGACUAUUUUGUUGUGACUUUCUAGUACCCGUAACUUGAUGAUCAUGCUGUACAUGGCUGUACCACACCUUUAUUAGUGCUGACUGAAAUGUUUAUCUGAUAGUAUUCUGCUAAUAUAUACUUUAGUAUUGGCUAUAGGUGGCUUUUAAGAGAAUAAAGUCUUUCAAGUACAAAGUACAAAAUUAAAUGGAUGUAGCUAGAAAUGUUGUAUGUGUGUAAAUUCUAAGCAUAAUUUAUCUCUUACUGCACCUAAAAAUAUUCACUAUUUGGUUACACCCUUCCCUUCCACACCUCCUACUACAAAAUAAAUUAGUUCUGUUUC